Molecule: ribosomal RNA, 252 nt
Filed under: uncultured bacterium
Lineage: Bacteria
Description: partial 16S ribosomal RNA
Rfam family: Bacterial small subunit ribosomal RNA
Source: RNAcentral
UACGGAGGGUGCAAGCGUUAUCCGGAUUCACUGGGUUUAAAGGGUGCGUAGGUGGGCAGGUAAGUCAGUGGUGAAAUCUCCGGGCUUAACUCGGAAACUGCCAUUGAUACUAUCUGUCUUGAAUACCGUGGAGGUCAGCGGAAUAUGUCAUGUAGCGGUGAAAUGCUUAGAUAUGACAUAGAACACCAAUUGCGAAGGCAGCUGGCUACACGAAUAUUGACACUGAUGCACGAAAGCGUGGGAUCAAACAGG